AUAUAUCCAUCUUGAAUCACGCAUCAAAAAACAAUUCGCUCGUAAACAUAUUGUCAGUAAAAAAAAAACCUUCAGCUACUUUUUCUGCGAGUUACAAUAUGAAGAGUUGCAGAAGAAUAUAUUCAGGAAAUAAUUGAUAAAAACCAAAUUAGAAGUGAGUAUUAAAUUAUAUGUUACAAGACGUUAGAAAAUGGUGUAUAAUACUGACUAAUUAAUAUUGAUCUAAUGCGGAACAUUUUUUUACGUCUAAUUAGUUUAACUUGAAGUAACGUAUAAAAUCGCAUUAAAAUACACGACCUGACAUUAUUCCAAAUGACGCAAGUGGGAAAUCGAUUAUUUAUAUGAAAUACUUUCUUCUAAUUAAGCGACAUAAUUACAUUAAUUACGAAACGACUUGUAACAAUCCGUUUGCAUUUACGUGAGAACACGAGAAGAAACUGAUGAAGUGCAUCUCGUAGGCUCUUUUGCUCUCUAUCUUUCGUCGUUUCUCUCACUAUCUCCCCUAUCUCUCGUGUUCUCCCCUAUCUCGGCGAUAUCGUUAUCAUAGCCUCCACGAUUGUUGCAAUCUUGUCUCGACAAUACUUACACGACAAUGCUUUUGCGUAUUCCUCGUAACAUUCCGCCGGUCAGUCGUGAAAAUCGCAGCGAAUUGAACGCGAAAACUCGCUCGUUUCACGAUCGAGCCGUGCUUAAUCUUAUCCGCCGCCAUAAAUCUGAUAUAUCGUUUUAUAGUUCUUGCAUGUCGAUUAUGAGUGCUUCAGGGUCGCGACGAUAAUAGAAGUGCUUUUUUACUACUACAUCCAAUUCUUUAAUUUGAAAUGCGUUUCGAUCGGUAGAUUUUCCGCUGAAUAGAUAUAUAGAACAGAAAUAAUUAAUUUCUUCGAGAUACGGGAAUGCGCGAGAGCGAGAUGCGAAUAUUUUCGAACGGUGAGAUUUCAAUAACUCUCGGUUUCAUGCGAGAAUCCGUCUUGCUAUGCAAUACAAUAAUAGCAGCGGAGCUGCGUUCAAGGAGGAAAAGGAUCGCUCGAAUGGAACGAAUUCAUGAAUAAAUUACAACAUCUUGCGGCGCGAAUGGCCAUUAUCUUCCUCAUGUCCGUACGCUCAACGCUAUAUCAGAAAUGCAAUGUAAAAGUUGUUUACAAUUCGAAGCGAAUAUAUCGAAACGACGGUUGUUGUCGAUCAAGUAAGAUAAUUGCGGAUAAAAAAAAUUUCAGGUCUCGCUAUUUACUUACUUCUUCCGCGAUUUCUCCAAUUUUAUUUCGUGUUUUUCUCAUGACGCUCGCGCGACUUUUCUAACAAACUCUCUCGAAAAAUUCCAACACUAUCUCGCGUUCUAGAAGUUAUAUAUACUCGGUAACAUAUGUCCAUUGUUUGUUUAAGUUGUUAUCAGUACGAGUGCACCUACGCCGGCAACAAUACGCGACUCUCGGAUGCGAGCCGUUACGUCAUUAAUCGCAGGAAGUCGCGUUUUUGGAGGACGCGCCGAUGCGUUUUAUGGCGUUGAUCAAUUUCCGCGAGAUUCAGAAUCCAAAUAUUUUCUAUACAAUGGACAUCGAGCAAAUGCACGCAAACUUUCUUUCGAUCAGAAGAUCGCCGUCUCUCUCGCCUACAAGUUCUCACUUCCGGCGAUUUUCACGGCGUUACGUAAAUUCCGCGUUCAUGUCGAUCCGCUGAGACGUGAUUGCCCGCAUCACGGUCAUAUUACGUAUAUAUUUGUUUUACAUGCUUAGAAAAACAAUAUUUCUUAAUGUUAGAGAGUUUUUGUUUACAUCAGCCAUUAAAAAAAAAA
Solenopsis invicta (red fire ant) is the source of this 1789-nucleotide long non-coding RNA. RefSeq lists it as uncharacterized. The transcript has 2 exons. The record is from RefSeq and is a predicted model, not a curated record. NCBI's taxonomy places the organism in Eukaryota, Metazoa, Arthropoda, Insecta, Hymenoptera, Formicidae.